CAACCCUCGAACCCCUCCGGGGGGUCGGCGUUGGGGAUCGGCCCUCCCUCGCGGGGAGCCGUCUCCGAAAUACAGUGGCGGUCUCGCCGCAGCCUCUCCUGCGCAGUAGUUUGCACACUCGCACCGGGAGCGCGGCGCGUCCACAGCCGUUAAACACCCAACUUCUGAAA
Molecule: unclassified non-coding RNA, 170 nt
Filed under: uncultured Trichoderma
Lineage: Eukaryota; Fungi; Ascomycota; Sordariomycetes; Hypocreales; Hypocreaceae
Description: sequence contains ITS2
Source: RNAcentral